AGUGAACGCUGGCGGUAGGCCUAACACAUGCAAGUCGAACGGCAGCACAGUAAGAGCUUGCUCUUACGGGUGGCGAGUGGCGGACGGGUGAGGAAUACAUCGGAAUCUACUUUUUCGUGGGGGAUAACGUAGGGAAACUUACGCUAAUACCGCAUACGACCUACGGGUGAAAGCAGGGGAUCUUCGGACCUUGCUCGAUUGAAUGAGCCGAUGUCGGAUUAGCUAGUUGGCGGGGUAAAGGCCCACCAAGGCGACGAUCCGUAGCUGGUCUGAGAGGAUGAGCAGCCACACUGGAACUGAGACACGGUCCAGACUCCUACGGGAGGCAGCAGUGGGGAAUAUUAGACAUGGGGCGGAAGCCUGAUCCAGCCAUACCGCGUGGGUGAAGAAGGCCUUCGGGUUGUAAAGCCCUUUUGUUGGGAAAGAAAAGCAGCAGGUUAAUACCGCGCUGUUCUGACGGUACCCAAAGAAUAAGCACCGGCUAACUUCGUG
This 492-nucleotide ribosomal RNA is filed under the name uncultured bacterium. RNAcentral describes it as "partial 16S ribosomal RNA". It matches the Rfam family "Bacterial small subunit ribosomal RNA", at positions 29 to 507 of the family's 1533-position model. The record is from RNAcentral.